RNAcentral lists this ribosomal RNA (2190 nucleotides) under Triticum aestivum (bread wheat). RNAcentral describes it as "partial small subunit ribosomal RNA". The record is from RNAcentral. Lineage: Eukaryota; Viridiplantae; Streptophyta; Magnoliopsida; Poales; Poaceae.
AUGUCGUAUUUUGUACGAGCAACAUUGGAUGACUCAACUCAGGUGAAAAGCAUUGCCGCGCUUGUACAAGCAUGUGGAUGGAGAGAAGUGGUGGCAGUAUACGAAGACACUGACUAUGGGAGAGGCAUCCUACCAUACCUCAUUGAUGCACUUCAAGAAAUCGAUGUCUGUGUUCCGUAUCGCAGCGUCAUCCCUUUGUCGGCAACAAACGAAACCAUUAUGCAAGAACUCGGUGUGUUGAUAGCAAUGCAAACAAGGGUAUUUAUUGUUCAUAUGUCAUCCACUAUGGCUUCCCUUAUUUUUACGAAAGCAAAAGAGGUAGGGAUGAUGAACAAAGGAUUUGCGUGGAUCACUACAAAUGGAGUGGCAAACAUCAUUGACUCACUCAAUCCAAGUGUCAUUGAGGCAAUGGAUGGUGUCCUAGGAGUAAGGUGUCAUGUUCCCAGAUCACAAGAACUUGAUAAUUUAUCCAUAAGGUGGAACAUAAUGUACCAACAGGAUAACCCAUAUGAAUCACCCUUUAAUAAACUAAGCAUUGUUGGACUAUGGGGCUAUGAUACGAUAUGGGCAAUUGCACAUGCAGCUGAAAAGGUUGGGAUAUCCAGUGCUAGAGAUAAGCAACCAUGGCCCACUAAAAACUCCACAUGCUUGGAAUCCAUGGUUAUUUCCACUAACGGUCCUGAGCUCUUAUCAGCGAUCGUACAAAAUAAGUUCAGAGGUUUAAGUGGUGAAUUUGACCUUACAGACAGACAACAGCUUAAAGUUUCCGUGUUCCAAAUAAUAAAUGUGGUGGAGAGAGGUUGGAGAGAAAUCGGGUUUUGGACUGUGAAUGAACUUUUACGGAAGUUAAAGCAAGAUUACUCUAAAAAAACAGGACAAGCAUCAAUGCUUGAUCUAAACCCUGUAAUUUGGCCUGGAGAGUCGACCGAAAUACCAAUGGGCUGGGAAAUUCCUAGAGUUGAAUUUGAUACUGCUGAUGCACCAAUUUCCGGAAGCUACAAUGAUUUUGUUUAUCAGGUCUACCUUCAGAAAUAUGACAUAGCGGUUGCAGAUAUUACUAUAAGAUCCAAUAGAUCAUUGUAUGUCGACUUCACUGCACCAUACACAGAAUCUGGAGUAGGGAUGAUUGUUCCAGUCAAGGAAAACGUGAAUACAGACAUGUGGCUUUUCUUGAAACCAUUGAGCACUGAGAUGUGGUUUGGCAGCAUCAAUGCCACGAAGGAAAUUAGGAGGGUCCUCUUGCAUCAUAAUCAACAAGAGGAGGAGCUGAAACGCUUUCUAGCUAGAAUCGUUCUACGUGUAUGGAGGGUUGUUCUUCUAGUACUUGCAGCAAGUUAUACAGCAAGCUUUGCAUCAAUGCUUACAGUACAGCAGCUUUCACCAACAGUGACUGAUGUUCAUGAACUCCAGAAGAAUGGGCAAUAUGUAGGGUUCCACCAAGGUUCCUAUGUAGAGGGUCUACUGCUGGAUAUUGGUUUUCAUACAUCAAAAAUCAGGCCUUAUGCUACACCUGACGAUUUCUAUAGUGCUCUUUCUAAUGGAAGCAUUGCUGCGCUUGUACAUGAAGUCCCAUACAUCAAACUUUUUCUCGCAAAAUACAGCAAAGGUUACACAAUGGUAGCGCCUAUUUACAAGAGUGUAGGCUUUGCAUUUACUUUUGACAACCUUUCUACAACAACUUUAAAAGCGCUUCCCAGGAAUUCUCCGCUAGCUCCUGAAAUGUCGAGGGCAAUAAUCAACAUAACAGAAGGAGAUACUAUCAUUCAAUUUGAAAAGAAAUGGAUGGGUCAAAAUAGCCAUGAAAAUGAUGGCACACUUGAUGGUUCAGACGCCAUAACUUUUGAAAGUUUUGGGGGAUUAUUCGCUCUAACUGUAAUUGUAACAACCUAUUGCCUUUUGGUAGCCAUGGUGAUGAGCUGCUACAAAAGAUAUCGACAAAAUGCAAGGACCAUAGGAGAGGUGGCCAAGAUGAAUGUGGGCAUGGGCAAAAAGAAGAGGAAACGGGAGAACAGAGGAUAUGACCAAAGUGAAUAUGGACAUGGGCAAAGGAAAAAGAGGAAAUGGAAGAGCAAAGAGAUCACAAGAGCAAUGAAAACGGAGACUGAAUUGAUAGGGAGCCAAACAACACUGUCAGUGCUUCACAAUCGGAACAGAAAUGGUCACCAGCUACCCAUAUCAGUGCAUCACUGA